UACGGGGGGGGUAAGCGUUGUUCGGAAUUACUGGGCGUAAAGGGCUCGUAGGCGGCCAACUAAGUCAGACGUGAAAUCCCUCAGCUUAACUGGGGAACUGCGUCUGAUACUGGAUGGCUUGGAUUUGGGAGAGGGAUGCGGAAUUCCAGGUGUAGCGGUGAAAUUCGUAGAUAUCGAGAGGAACACCGGUGGCGAAGGCGGCCAACUGGACGAAUACUGACGCUGAGACACGAAAGCGUGGGGAGCAAACAGG
This 253-nucleotide ribosomal RNA is filed under the name uncultured bacterium. RNAcentral describes it as "partial 16S ribosomal RNA". It matches the Rfam family "Bacterial small subunit ribosomal RNA", at positions 524 to 776 of the family's 1533-position model. The record is from RNAcentral.